UGCCUUACACAUGCAAGUCGAACGGCAGCAUGAUCUAGCUUGCUAGAUUGAUGGCGAGUGGCGAACGGGUGAGUAAUACAUCGGAACGUGCCCUGUAGUGGGGGAUAACUAGUCGAAAGAUUAGCUAAUACCGCAUACGACCUGAGGGUGAAAGUGGGGGACCGCAAGGCCUCAUGCUAUAGGAGCGGCCGAUGUCUGAUUAGCUAGUUGGUGAGGUAAAGGCUCACCAAGGCGACGAUCAGUAGCUGGUCUGAGAGGACGAUCAGCCACACUGGGACUGAGACACGGCCCAGACUCCUACGGGAGGCAGCAGUGGGGAAUUUUGGACAAUGGGGGCAACCCUGAUCCAGCAAUGCCGCGUGUGUGAAGAAGGCCUUCGGGUUGUAAAGCACUUUUGUCCGGAAAGAAAUCGCACUUACUAAUAUUAGGUGUGGAUGACGGUACCGGAAGAAUAAGGACCGGCUAACUACGUGCCAGCAGCCGCGGUAAUACGUAGGGUCCAAGCGUUAAUCGGAAUUACUGGGCGUAAAGCGUGCGCAGGCGGUUGUGCAAGACCGAUGUGAAAUCCCCGGGCUUAACCUGGGAAUUGCAUUGGUGACUGCACGGCUAGAGUGUGUC
Molecule: ribosomal RNA, 618 nt
Filed under: uncultured Ralstonia sp.
Lineage: Bacteria; Pseudomonadati; Pseudomonadota; Betaproteobacteria; Burkholderiales; Burkholderiaceae
Description: bacterial SSU rRNA
Rfam family: Bacterial small subunit ribosomal RNA
Source: RNAcentral